Molecule: non-coding RNA, 3501 nt
Organism: Podarcis muralis (Common wall lizard)
Lineage: Eukaryota; Metazoa; Chordata; Lepidosauria; Squamata; Lacertidae
Source: RefSeq, a predicted model, not a curated record
UGAAUUAUUAUGCCAUAAAAUGUAUUACAGCAAAAUUUUGUCUGCAGAAGUAGUCCCUAGUCCACAAAUCCUUAUGCCGCAAUGAAUUUGUUAGUCUUUAAGUGCCACAGGACUCUUAUUUUCCUUUCUAUAUCGAUAACAAAGCAGCAGUUGCUAAUGGCUUCAAAGAUUUGCCCUGCACAGCUUCCUUCCUCUCAUUUCCCUUCUUCUCAGCUCCUUCUCAUUUUCGAGUGGCUUGCACAGCCUCGACCUUUCAGUGUGCAACUGCUGAGCUCUGGCUGGGGGUUGCUGGGUGAAGCAACUGGCUCUGUGAUCCAUGUGACUGCAGUUUCCGUUGCUUAGUUCCUUCCGCAAGUUCUAAAAUAAUCUGAUAUUAAGUGAGAGGGCAAACAGCUAAUUUUAAUAUUAUUUGUAGAGAUACAGCAAGAAAAGAGGGCACGGGCUGGAGCAGAAUGAACGUCCCAGACCUGAGUGUAUUGCUCCUACCCCCGGAGUCCUGCUGUUGAAAUGGCACUAAUAGCCCUGAGUAUCUUUGUGUGGAUAGCUUUCCUAGAUACAGGAUGGGGAAGCAAACCUGCAGCCUAUCACAGCCUUUGCAGACUGGAAGAGAGAACUGCAGACUGCAAAGGCAAGAGGCUGAGCUCUGUCUCACAAGACUUGCCUCCUGGAACAAUGGAGCUCUUCCUGGAUGCAAAUGUUAUACAGACCCUAAAGAAUGCAUCUUUAGUAAGGUAUCAAGUCCUGCAGAGCCUCAGUCUGUGUGAGAAUGGGUUGGAGCUCAUUGAGCCUGGGGCUUUCCUUGGCACCAGGAGCCUCAGUAGUCUAUCUCUGGCCAACAAUGCCCUCUCUGUGAACUAUUCUGCAACAGCAGCUGCUCUGGGGACUUUGCCUGCCCUGAGGAAGCUGGACCUAUCUGGAAAUCUGCUCAAUGAAGCUAUGAUGGCCACCUUGAUCCAGGAUUUGUCCUCUCUAGAAUCUUUGUCCUUGGCCUGGAACUCCAUCAUGAGGCUGGAUGACUCUCACUUACAAAAUCUGCCCAGGUUGCAGCACCUAGAUUUGCAGCACAACUACAUAUUUGAGAUUGAGACUGGCGCCUUUGAUGGUUUGCGAUGGCUACAGCAGCUUAAUCUGGCCUACAACUACAUUCCUUGCAUGGUGGAGUUUGACCUGACCCAACUCCGAAUGCUAAAUGUCAGCAACAAUCAAAUCGAGUGGUUCUUGGCUGCAGAGAAUGAUGCUGCCUUUGAACUAGAAACACUAGAUCUUUCCUACAACCAGCUCCUCUUCUUCCCGCUGUUGCCCAAGCAAAAUAAACUGAGGACUCUGCUGCUGAUGCACAACCAAUUGAACUUCUACAACAAUAUUUUCAAUGACUCAGAGGGCACAGUGCAACUGUUAUUCCUGGAUGGCAACAUCACAAACAUCACCACCCUUGACCUCUGGGCCGAAAACCAUCACAGCAACCUCUCUUCCCUGCAGUUCCUAGACAUGAGUUGGAACCAGCUCUGGUACCUUCCAGAAAGGUUUUUUGAAGGCAUGUCUUCCCUUGCUCAUCUGAACCUCAACCACAACUGCUUAGAGACAUUACAGAUACAGGAGAGUGACCUACUAAGCACUCUCGUUGACUUGGAUCUCAGCUACAACCAACUUCAGGAUCUGCAGAUGAACUUGGACCAUAGAAGCAGCUUAGCCAACCUCAGAACAUUGAGUCUGAGCACCAACAGACUGCGUGGCUUGCCUGCUAAAAUCUUUACUCACACAACAAAGAUCACUACACUUGACCUCAGUAAAAACCCUAUAAAGCUUUGUGCCUCAAAUGCUGCUGGAGGUUCCAGUUGCAUAGAUAUCAGUAAUGCUGGCUCCAUAAGGAAUCUUUUCUUGUCUGGCUGUGACCUAGAAAUACUGGACACCCACAUCUUUCAGGGGACUUCUAUAGCACACUUAGACCUUUCUGACAACCCCAGGUCACUACUUGAUGGCUUAGGACCUCUGAAAGAUGUUGCACAAUCACUGCAGGUGCUCUGUCUUAGGAACACUGGACUUUCUGCUGCAAGGACAAAUAUGGACUUCUCUGCUUUUCAGAAGCUGGUAAACCUAGAUCUAUCUGAAAAUUCUCUGGCUACCUUCCCUGAAUCUUUAGCAGGCCUGGAACUGCAAAUUCUGGAUCUAAGGAGAAAUCGUCUCCAUGCCCUACCUCAGCAUGCCAUGCAGAAGCUUGGAAAGAGCUUACAUGAGAUCUACCUCAGCCAGAAUCCUUAUGACUGCUGCCAGCUGGGUUGGUGGGAUGCCCUGCAUGACAGUGACACUGUACGCAUUCUAGACUGGAAUCAAGUCACUUGCAACUUUUCCUCUAAGUUCAUCCGUGUAGCAAAUUUGCCUGAAUCAGUCAUCCAGAAUUGCAAGUGGCUAACGGCAGAUAUGACCCUGCUGCAUCUGGUCCUUGUUCUUCCUACCUGUUUGGCCCUGCUAGUUGCCUUUGUUAUCAUCUUCCUGACUUUCAGGCAACGAAUUCUUCAAAUGGUGAAGAGCAGGUACAGAAGGUCCAGCCCUUAUUGACUCUGGGAUGGUGUGAAGAAAACAGCCACUCGGACCCUCCAGAAUGGGCAUAGGAGGAACACUUUAUCCACAUGCCAGUUGAAAUACUCAUAUGACAGACCUAAUGUUGGAGGGAACACUGAGGGGCAUUCCAAGGCCAUCUCAGCAGUGUUGGCUACAGCACAGCUUCCCAACAUGUGGAGGAGGUGCAAUUCAUAAAACGAGAUGGUGCAGUAUAAGGAAGCCAUAACUUCGCUGCAGAUGUGAAUGGCAUGUGGAAGACUGUAUGAAAUGAUUACCAACCUGGCACCUCUUACUCCAACUGACCCCCAAGUGUUGUGUUGGACUAGAGAUGCAGGUGGCAAUGCAAGCAUCUUGCUGCCUACAUGCUCCAAGACAGCUAUUUCACCAUUAGCUGAAAUUGCUAUGGUUGCACACACAAAGAAGGGCAAGGGGAGAACAGAGCAAAAUCUGGACCCCUUCAUCCCCUUACCAUGCUGUGCUCCAGUGCAGUGGUCCAUCCCCUUUGACUGAUCUCUCAAGCCAGAAGUGAGCUACAAAGUGCAGUGGGGUAAAGAGCCUAUUUCGUUUUGUGUAAAGAGUAGACACACCCAUUUGAUAUGUGAGUGGGGCAAACACAUUUCAGCAUAGACACGGUGGCCCUCAGAGCAUUAAGUCAGGGUGGUUAUGAUAACAUUGUCAAUAGCAAAAAUGCAUCAGUUCACAAAGAGAUUGGCAACAUCUGAAGAUCCUUCAGAAUUUAUUUUUUCUUUUUUAAAGGUUUCUAGUUCAUUCCCCACUUGCUGUGUAAAAUGUGUGGCCUGCUAAAGUUGUUAGGAGACCUUUGACAAAUUGUACUAAUGUGUGGUCUGAGAUUCCCAUAAUUCUUUAGGGGAAGCCAUGACUGUUUAAAUGUGAUUUAAAUUCAAGGUAUAGACGUGAUCCUAAUGACAGCAGUAAAAACAA